Long non-coding RNA from Solea senegalensis (Senegalese sole), 3990 nucleotides. RefSeq lists it as uncharacterized. The transcript is spliced from 3 exons. The record is from RefSeq and is a predicted model, not a curated record. NCBI's taxonomy places the organism in Eukaryota, Metazoa, Chordata, Actinopteri, Pleuronectiformes, Soleidae.
UUUGAGGGGCUCAUUGAAAAGGUUGUGAUCCACUCUCUGCGUCAGAGGUUCAUGUCAGCUAUAGGAACAAACUUGGCUCAUGGGUUGUGGAAGAGUGUGAAACCGAGGACUUGCAAACGGGUCGUAGUUUGUGGUGUCGCCACGUUGGACGACUGGUUACAACAGAAAUGUGCUUUUCUGAGGUGAAAUAAAAUGUAACCAUUGUUCUCCUGCGCUGUCAUGAACAUCAGUGGAAAAAAAGGUUGUUUCUUUCUUUAAUUGUACAUUAUUCUAACAUUAGCCCAUCAAAGGCCCCUCAUUAUUCAUUAUCACAAAGGCUCCUUGGGGUGGCGCUGUUGCAGAGCGAAAUCAAAGAGAAAAUCACAACAAAAGUGGGGUUUAGGUGAAGUCGUUGGCCUGAAGUAUUACCCAUUAUUUUCUCCAUUCACAUGUUUCAGGCAGACGAGUGUCCACUCUGUCCAAACAUAAUCAAUCCUUUGGUAACUGCGUCGGCAGAAACACGUUUGCGGCAAGUGAUUUUUGUUGAAGUGGGGAUAAAUAGAAAUGCAUUAUCUCACUCUACAAACUCCUCUGACUGGUGGAUGUAAAGACUUGUUCACAUGCUGUGUGUCGUGUUGAGCCACAGCUUUCACACUCAGUAUGUUUCCAGAUAAACUACAACAUUAGCUCCCAGGAUACCAACAGAACUCAUUGAUUGAGCCCUAUGUUUAGGCUUGUUUAGUAUUAGACAGUUUCGCUGAAGCUGGGUGGAAGCAUGUCAAGCGACAUUUUGAAACUUAAGAAAUAUAAAAAAGAUUUGAGCUAGCAGAGCAAAAUUGCACCAGCCUGGAUUUCAGAUUUCUACAACUUCCAAAUCAAAGCUCGGGACUGGGAACAGUUUGGGUCUGAUUUAAAAACAUCAGGACAUUUUUAAAAGUCAUCACACUAACGCGAUUAUUGUUUCUUACGUCAUGUAAACAACCGAGACACGACGUGUAGAAAUCAUCCCCUCUCAUGUGAUUUAAAUUUUUUGUUCUUUUUUUUUUUUGUUUUUUGUUUUUUUGUUGCUGUCCAGCCUUUCAAAAUGAAUGGGAAUAUAAUCCGGAUGUGCAAAGAAAGGAAGUCCAGAUAUGUGUGACUACACAUUGUGAUGUCAAGAGUGAAUUCAUCUGUAGAGGAGCCUCAGGCUAAUUAAUAAAUUAAAAAUGGGCCUGUGGUUUUAAAAUUUGUGUUUCAUGUUCCAGACAAUUCUGUUGAGAGUUGAUGGGCGGAGUUGACGACGAGGGGGGAGGGAAAACGUGGAGAAGUGAAACUUGGCAACGUCUCGUUUAACAAGCAGGUGUGACACACUGGAAAAAGUCUGACAUCAGCAUUCCAGUCUACCCAUGAGCAAAGCAGUGUCCCACACAGACGAGUACCUUUUAGUUCAGUUAAGAUUCAGCGUAGCCCACUCUAUAUAGGUCCAAAUAAGGAGACACAUGGAAUAAAGCAACAUUUUGUGGCUGUAUAUUAUAUUUUUUUCAAAAAAAGAUCUUUUUUUUUCUCUUUAUUUAUAGAGCCAGCCUGGCUUUGUCUGUCAUGGUUCUGAGUAGACGUGUGUGUAUGGACAGACAGACAGACAGACAGACACACACACACACACACACACAGGCAGGCCGUGGACCGGACUCGCAUUAAUUGCUGAUAAUUUACUGUUGUGCAUUGCAUUUUAGUAAAGAUGGUUCUCUUGUGUAUGUAAUGUUUCGACAGGGUAAAACAAAAAUGAUCAGAAGGCAGAUGAUUGGCUUUUUAUUGUUCUUCUUUUCCUGGCAACAAAAAAAAAAACAACUCGAUGAGGAUGGGAGUGCGUUUGUGUGAUUAUACAGCAAAUGCCUACAUUUCCAUGCUUCAGUUAAUCUUGUGUGACAUAAUGUUUUCAUAGUACAUGCAAAUAAAUAACCCUGCUUGGCGGGGCGUUUUAGAAAACCUCUGCUGCUUCUUCACGUCUGAAUCACAAUUGAAGCCAAAUAUUAAAAAUAUCUUUUCUUUUUUGACACAUUUUUAAUCUUCAGUACUUAACAAAAUGUUAAAUUUACCUUUUUGUACCCACAUUUGAGCCAGAAGCGUCACAUUCAACCACUAAAAGUCAUGUUUCUGUUCAGUAAUCCAAGUAAAUAGCUAUAAUUUGACGACUUAAUCAAGAAAUAAUCAUGUGCUUUAUUUGUGUCUGGGUUUUUUUUGUAAAACAGUACGUUUGAAAAUUCACGGAUAACAAUAAUAAUUAUAUUUCAGCAUUAAGAUAUCAUUUCAGUUAAAGAGCUUACUGGAGUAUUAACCAUUACAGAAACAUAAAAAAUGAUUUUGAUUAUUACCAAUGCAAACCUUGUAUUGUGUGUUCUAAUACGUUUGUUCAGCGCUGUAACUUUAAAUCAAACUUCAGUUGAAUAUUUAUUGUCGAUUUAAAGCUGCAGUGAAGUGGCGUAGCUGACACUUACUGUAGGAACCAUGAAAUAAACCAACAUUCUUUGUCUGUACAUCAUUAUUAUUUUUAAAUAUCCUUGUGUUUUUCAUUUCUAUUUUAUUGAUUGAUCUGUAGAUCCUUUUCUCGAUCUAUCGAAUAAUAAUAGUUUGGUUCAUAAAACGUUCCUCAGUGUUUCCCAAACAUGGAAAUGAAACCAGAAAAUUCUCACAUUUAAGAAGCUGAAUAAUCUUGAAAACCUGUUUAAAAAACAAAACGCUCAAAUUGAUAAACCAAGUGUCAGAAUAGUUUACAUGUACUAAGUGGUUAAUAAUAGAGUAAUUGUUUCAGCCCUACAUAACUUAUCUUCAAAAUAUAAGAUUCUGUAUGUGAAGUCUGUAUCGUUAGCAUUUUAAAUUAACAUAAACAUUUGCAGUUAGAUUCAAAUAGUGAUUUUAAUUUUAAAAAAAUGAUUCACUUUUCAGCGCUAAUGUAAAUUGUCAUUUGAGUUGUUCCACAAAAAGUCUUACAUCAUUUCGCUAAGCUCUUCCACAGAAAAACCACUCGCUCUCAAGUUACUUCUGCAGAAACAAGCAUGAACGUGACAGAGGUGCGGUGACUGAAUGAGCACAGGCUGCUUUAAAAACACCUGAGCCCACAGAGGACAUCAGUCACUGCAGCAGCAGCUUAAAGACAAACCUGAGCGAGCGUCUUCCAGCCCUUCAAGUCUUUAAGUUCUCACGAACAAUGUCUUCACAAAACCUCACCGCGGUGGACCAAGUGGACCUGGAGUGCAUCGUGUGCUGCCAUGAGUUCUACCGCAGAAGCCACGUCCCGCUCCUCCUCAACUGCAAACACACCUUCUGCGUCCACUGUCUGCAGAAGAUAUCCAAGCAGAUGGACUGCAUCUGCACCAUCUGCUGUCCUCUGUGCCGCUGGAUAACGUGCAUCCAGGCCGGGAAGGACCUGGACAGGGUCCUGGACUUGGACUACAAAAUCUGGGAGCAGAUUCCAGAGGAGAAGCCGCGGAGAAUGGACAAUAAAGUAUCUGAUCCUUGGUCUGGUUCCAUGUCCACAGUCAAGACACGAUGGCCGCGUGUUGGUCGGAUCACAUCUCGGCAGCAUUUUGGAAUGAGGAAAUUGUCUUGUGUUUUUCCGGUUUAAUUGAAAUAAUGGGAAGCAUAAAUGUUUGAAGUAUCUGUGAAAAAAAAUCCUUUUUGUCAAGAGAUAAUGGAUCAUUUUCCUGAUUUGUUUAGGUUAUGUUGGCAUUGUUUUUCUGAAAUAAUGACUUUUUGUUUUUUCUAAGUUACUUCUGUGAUAGGAAAAAGAAACACAAUGUCAUUCAUUUAAAACAGACACUGAUGGAAUCUUCUUCCAUGGCUGAAGCCUCACGAUACAGAGCUUCACUUUGUUACUUUUCAUGCUUGCUCGCGCUCAUGUUUGAGUGAUUUUAUAUUGUUUCGCAAUUUGUAUUUAUCAUUUUUAAUGUUAUUUAAUAUUUGUACUUCUUUUAAUGUAACUUUACCAUGAAAACGAGCCAAGUGAAGUGUUUACUGAUGUGUAUUUAAAAAUAA